This 252-nucleotide ribosomal RNA is filed under the name uncultured bacterium. RNAcentral's name for it is "partial 16S ribosomal RNA". It matches the Rfam family "Bacterial small subunit ribosomal RNA", at positions 524 to 776 of the family's 1533-position model. The record is from RNAcentral.
UACGGAGGAUGCGAGCGUUAUCCGGAUUUAUUGGGUUUAAAGGGUGCGUAGGCGGGCUUUUAAGUCAGCGGUAAAAAUUCGGGGCUCAACCCCGUCCGGCCGUUGAAACUGGGGGCCUUGAGUGGGCGAGAAGAAGGCGGAAUGCGUGGUGUAGCGGUGAAAUGCAUAGAUAUCACGCAGAGCCCCGAUUGCGAAGGCAGCCUUCCGGCGCCCUACUGACGCUGAGGCACGGAAGUGCGGGGAUCGAACAGG